This 75-nucleotide transfer RNA is filed under the name Erythrobacter sp. RNAcentral's name for it is "tRNA-Thr". It matches the Rfam family "tRNA". Rfam says of the family: Transfer RNA (tRNA) molecules are approximately 80 nucleotides in length. Their secondary structure includes four short double-helical elements and three loops (D, anti-codon, and T loops). Further hydrogen bonds mediate the characteristic L-shaped molecular structure. tRNAs have two regions of fundamental functional importance: the anti-codon, which is responsible for specific mRNA codon recognition, and the 3' end, to which the tRNAs corresponding amino acid is attached (by aminoacyl-tRNA synthetases). tRNAs cope with the degeneracy of the genetic code in two manners: having more than one tRNA (with a specific anti-codon) for a particular amino acid; and 'wobble' base-pairing, i.e. permitting non-standard base-pairing at the 3rd anti-codon position. Lineage: Bacteria; Pseudomonadati; Pseudomonadota; Alphaproteobacteria; Sphingomonadales; Erythrobacteraceae. RNAcentral also lists the same sequence under 8 other names. The record is from RNAcentral.
GCCGCGGUAGCUCAGUGGUAGAGCGCACCCUUGGUAAGGGUGAGGUCGAGAGUUCAAUUCUCUCUCGUGGCACCA